Molecule: ribosomal RNA, 259 nt
Filed under: uncultured bacterium
Lineage: Bacteria
Description: partial small subunit ribosomal RNA
Rfam family: Bacterial small subunit ribosomal RNA
Source: RNAcentral
AGGACGAACGCUGGCGGCGUGCUUAACACAUGCAAGUCGAGCGGUGAUCCUCCUUCGGGAGGUGAUCAGCGGCGAACGGGUGAGUAACACGUGGGCAACCUGCCCCUCACACUGGGAUAACCUCGGGAAACCGGGCUAAUACCGGAUACGACCUCGAGCGGCAUCUCUUGAGGUGGAAAGCUCCGACGGUGAGGGAUGGGCCCGCGGCCUAUCAGCUUGUUGGUGGGGUAAUGGCCUACCAAGGCGACGACGGGUAGCC